Carassius gibelio (silver crucian carp) is the source of this 4831-nucleotide long non-coding RNA. RefSeq lists it as uncharacterized. The transcript is spliced from 3 exons. The record is from RefSeq and is a predicted model, not a curated record. Lineage: Eukaryota; Metazoa; Chordata; Actinopteri; Cypriniformes; Cyprinidae.
ACUCGCCCAUAUGUCUGCAGCCAGACCCUCUUGAUCUCGUGCGAUCUGCAGCAGAGUGAACUUGAAAACAGCGGAAAUGUUUAGCAUUUUUCCAUUGGGCGAGACGUCCGGUUAUGGAUGUGCUGGAAUUUUUCCUUUUUUUGCGGGCAGUUUUGCUACCAAAACUGAAAGCAUUUUCAGAGUUUUGCUGUGCGCCAUUUUAGUCCAAGACGUAAUACGAUUAUUUAAAGGAAGAAAAUAUAUAUUAUAUAUUAUAUUUUCACCUCUGGAUGGACAGUAUAUUUAUUUUAUAUUUUCACCUCUGGAUAGACAGCAUAUUUAUUUUAUAUUUUCACCUCUGGAUAGACAGCAUAUUUAGUUCUCACCUCUGGAUUUAAUUUUUUUUUAUUUUAUAUUUUCACCUCUGGAUAGACAAGAAACUCAGUGUGCCGAGUGAGAGAGAGCAACCCAUUCUCACUCCAACGGCGUCAAAAAACCGAAGCAUGGUCAAGCGCCCCUAGCGUCACUUUUAUGACGCCAAAUGUGCCUCUAGACGUCGAAUAUCGACGCACUACGACAUUCAUUGCUUUCAGUGGGAAACUUUUGGCGUCAGAAUUUCGACACGAGGACAUGAGAUGUUUAUCGCUGUGAAAUCACGUUCAAGAAGUCUCAUUCAGCACACAUCGCGAUACUUGCUAUCAGUUCCACAGUUUGGCUGAAAAGACGUAAAGGAAGCAGUCAGCCCAGUGGUGUUUCUGGAGAGGGAUUCCUUCAGAAAUGGAGAAGACAGAAAGCUGUGGAGGCAGAUAUUUGCAGCAGUAAGUCUGUGAUAGUUUGUCUAUUUUAUCAAACAUUCCUGCUGUUAUAAUUUGAACAGAAUUUGUUGUUUCUUAAACUGUUGCACUGUCCAAAUACCCGCACUUGCCAUCUUUGCACUUGACCACUUGAGUGAGCAUGAUGACCAUAAGUGUGUGUCUAACUUUUCAUGACCUGAUGACUGUGGUUCCCAAUCCUGGUCCUGGAGAACCCCAGCACUGCACGGUUUUGGUGUCUCUCUUAUCUAACACACACACUUUUGAGGUCUUGGAGUCUUCACUGAUGAGUUGAAUCAGGUGUGUUUGAUCAGGGAGACAUCUCAAAUGUGCAGUGUUGGGGUUCCCAGGACCAGGAUUGGGAGCCACUGCCUUAUGGGACACACUUAUGUGUUUACAGAAAUUUUUAAUAUCUAAUUAUCAAUAUUUCACAUACUGUACAUUGGACAGCUUUCCGUGACCUCUUGUGAGAUCUCAGCAAAAAGUCUGACGAUUUAUACCAAAACAUGAUGCAUGAUGGGAUACACUAAGCGUUGUAUAGUGCUCUGGAGCAGUAUUGGAGAGGUUUAGUGUGUGUUAAGGACACUAUGCUUUGGCAUUAUUAAGACCGGGGACAGUUUUGUGCACACACUGUCACGUACACACACUCUCAAGUGGCCAAGACUGCAAAUGUGGGUAUCUGGACAGGGACAAGUCUUAAAAAUGAACCCUAAACACAGUCGCACAUCACAGUCUUAAUAAUUCAGUUUAACACUUGUAUGAUAUUGUCUCAUCAGACACUAUCAAAAGAAUUCAUAUGACUAUAGCUUGAUAUUAAUUACUUGCUUUUAAUAAUGGAUGCAUUUAAUAUUUAAUUAUACAGCAUCUUUACAGAGGCUGCUUUUAUGGUCUAAACAAAACCCAGUGUAAUGUAUGAGUUGAAUGUAAUGUAAUAUUUCACAUAUUAGUUGGAUAUAUUUUGUGUAAGAUCUUCAGGUGAAUUUUUCUUACUUUGUUAGAAAUACAAAAUUUGUAAGGGAGCAUCCAUGCUUUCCUCCAAUUAACAUCUCUUAAAAUGGAAUUCCAGUAAAAUUUCCCUCUUGGAGUAAUUCUCUUUUGUUCAUUAAAUACUUGUCUUAUAUCUUUGUUAGUAGAUUUUUUUUAUCAAAAAUAUAUUUACCAUUUGUAAGGAGAUCAUAAUCUUUAUUUUCAACUUUAUAAUAAGUCAACUGGCUGCACAUUAAAUUAAUAAGCCCAGAGGGAAUAACUUUGGUUACUACAGAAAAUUCUUUAAAUUUUAUAGGAAAGUUGAAUUUGGACAAAAAAAGAAUCAUAAGAGUGAAUUUUUAAAGAUGAAUCAAAUAAUUCACUUAAAUACAUUAACCCGUGAUCCAACCAUUUCUCAAAAAAUAAACUCUUGCCUUUAACUGUAAUCAAUUCGUUGUUCCAUAUUUUCAUUCUGUAAGGAGAAAAAAUAUGCACAAAGCACAAUUUCCAGGCCAAGAGUGCUUGCUCAUGGAAUUUAGACAGUUUUAUAGGUAAUUUAGAUGGUACAAAAUUGCAAGUUAACAGAAAUUUAAGACUGUCGACCUUUUAAAAAAUAUUAUGUGGAAUAAACGACCAAAUUGAAUCAGUAUCAGUAACACACCUUUUGAUCCAGUUAAUCUUAAAAUUAUCUACAUAAUCCAGCAAUUCAAAACCAUUUCCUUCCAAUUUCUUUCCAACUAAUACGUUUGUUUAAAGAUGGUGGUGCUUAUUUUUCCAGCAAAGAUUAACUAAUAACCUAUUAAUUUCUUUACCAGUAGAAUCUUGAACAAAUAAAGACAGCCCAGGAAAAAUCAAUGUGGAUAAACCUUCUACUUUUGUUAAUAAGAUUCUGCCUAAAAUAAAUAAAUCCCUUCUUAACCAAUUGUCAAAAAACAUUUUUGUUUUCUUAAUCUUGUAAUUAAAAUUAAGAUGCUGUCUAACUGUCAAUUUUUUAGAUAUAUAAAUUCCUAAAUAUUUAACGUAUUCUUUCACUGGAAUGUUAAACAUUGAAUGUUGAGAAGAAUCAUGUACUGGAAGAAUUUCACACUUUGUAAUAUUUAACUGGAGACCUGAGGCAUCAGAAAAAGUUAGAACUAAUUUGAUUGCAUUCUUAAUUUGAUUCUUAUCUUUUAGAAAUAAAGUUGUAUCAUCAGCCAAUAAAAAUAUUUUUAUUUCUCUAUUAAAUAAUGUUAUACCAUGUAAAUUUGGAUUUUUAACUAUACUAAUAGUUCCACAACAAUUAAAAACAAAAAUGGGGAAAUUGGGCAACCUUGCCUCACUCCUCUGUUGAUGGAGAAUCUUCUAGAAGUAUUGUUCUGUAAUAUAACGGAACUAUUAAUACCUUUGUAAAACAUUUUACCAUUCUGAAUGAUUUUUUUUUCCAAAACCAAAUGCAUGUAAACUCUGUAAUAAAAAUUGGUGAUCAAUUGUGUCAAACGCCUUAAAUAAAAUGAGUGCAUCUGAAUUAACAAAUUGGUUAUAAUCUAAUAGGUCCAAUAUAAGCCUAAUAUUUGAACUAAUAUGGCGUUUCACCAUAAAACCAGUUUGAGAUUCUCCAAUUAUCUUAUUUAAACCACUCUUUAAUCUAAUAGCUUAAACUAAGGCUAAAAUUGUAUAAUCAAUGUUUAAAAAUGUUAUUGGUCUCCCGUUGUCAGUGAUCAAGGGGUCUUUGUCUGGUUUUGGAAUUAAACUGAUAAUACCUUGUUUCAUUGUUGUGCUCAUUUCUUUAUGUUCUAAACAUUCUUUAUAGAUGCUAAAUAAAGGGUUUUCUAUCAGAUCCCGAAAGGCACAAUAAAAUUCAACAGUUAACCCAUCUGAUCCAGGGGAUUUUCCUUUCUUCAUUGAAAAAAGAGCUUUAGAGAUUUCAGCUUCAUAACUAGUAUUCCUUUCCCCCUCCUCAAACCAUUUGGCUCUUGAUCUCACAUAAGCACCUUUAGCUAGUUCUAUAUAUAGAUUAUCUAUUUCUAAAUUAAGAAGAUAUAAUUUAGACUUGUCAUCUUCAGACAGAGUAUUUUGUUUGAUUAAAGUAUCAAGUUGCUCGGUUAUCUCCGUAAUCUUCCUAAGUUUAUUUUUCUUUAAUUCUUUACCUCUUCUCAUAGCAAUUACCCUGAAUUUAAAUUUAAAUAACUCCCACCUUUGAAUAAAAGUUAAAUUAUUAUUUUCAAAAAUAUUUGCUAUCAAUUUAACUUGUCCCACAAAAUAAUUGUCAGAAAGUAGACUGUUGUUAAAUUUCCAGUAUCUAAGAAAUAUACUACUCUUACACCCAUCAAAAAAUAUUGAUAUCAAUUUGUGAUCUUACAGAGGGGCACAAGUAAUUUUUGUUUCUUAAACAUAGUUGAUUAAGUCAUAAGAAAUCAACCAGUAAUCUAUUAUUGAUUUUAAAGAAAACGUGCUAUCAUUCCAAGUAUAGUCACAACAAUUGGGAUUCAAAUAUCUCCACACAUCAGAAACUUGUAAUGUGUCAGUUAUAAAAUCAAAUAAAUCUGAAAUUCGUGAACUAUGUCUGGGUGGAAAGCGGUCAACAGAAUCGUCUGGAUCAUCGUUGAAAUCACCACCAAUAAUUACAUUUCCAUCCUUAUACUACUUCUUUAAACCUGUUAUUGAUUCACAAAUCUUCUUAAACAUUUCUAAAUUGUGUACUCGAACAUUAAAUCCAUAGACACUGCAAAUUAUUAAAGUGGAAUUGUCCAGUUUAACAGUGAGUAUAAUCCAUCUUCCAUUGUCUGAACGAAUAGACUCCAAAACAUUGCCUUUGAAUUUGUUAAAGAAAAUUGCGACACCUUCUGAGUGAUUGGAUCCAUGACAAAAAAUUGCAUAAUCUCCCCAUUGGGUUUUCCAAAAAUUCGAAUCAGAGUCACAAGAAUGAGUCUCUUGAAAAAAAAAGUAUUUGAGCUUCUGUAUGUCUACCAAAAACAAAUAUAGCUUUUCUUUUAACAGUAUCACGAAUGCCUCGAACAUUUAAAGAAAUUAAAUUGAACUUACCAAACUUGUAAUCAGCCGUUACAACAAACUAACUACUUAGGGGUGCCACAGUU